RNAcentral lists this long non-coding RNA (2917 nucleotides) under Sarcophilus harrisii (Tasmanian devil). Its description in RNAcentral is "lncRNA (ENSSHAG00000020771.1)". The record is from RNAcentral. Lineage: Eukaryota; Metazoa; Chordata; Mammalia; Dasyuromorphia; Dasyuridae.
GGCUGAGCCAAAUUUGGAUUUGUGUGGGUAUAGUGGGGAGUAGUUCCUUGAAUAGAGAGACCCUUUCAAGUAAGUCAAGACUGGUAGUGUGCUGUAUACAAAAGUAACAUCAGAAGUUUUGAAAGACAGACCAAUGUUCUGUUCCAAUGGUCUUAUGAUGAUGAGAGAGAACUGUGGGAACUGAGGGUGGAUCACAACAUAAAUUUUUCACUUUUUUUGUUGUGGUUUGCUUGAAUUUUUUCUUUCUUUUUUUUCUGAUUUUUCUUGUGCAGCAAGAUAACUGUAUAAAUAUGUGUGCCUCUAUUGAUUUAUCAUAUUUUUUUUUUACCAUGUUUAUCAUAUAUUGGAUUUCUUGCUAUCUAGGGGAGGGGGGAAGGGGGAAAAUUGGAACACAAGGUUUUGCAAGGGUCAGUGUUGAAAAAUUACCCAUGCAUAUGUUUGAAAAAUAAAAAAUUAAAAAAAAAACUUCAAUUAAAAAAUGCAAAAAAUAUAUAUUGAAAGAAAUAUCCAGUUCCUCUCUUGGAGAAGGGAGGAGGAAGGGAAGAUGGAGAAGAGAGUGUGGGGGGAGGGAAUCCAGUUUUGAAGUGGGAUGAAGUCUAUGGAAUGGUUUCAAGAAGACGGAAACUGCAGUUUUAAAGAUCUGGCCUACAGUAGUUUGGUGACCAGGGUGAGGAAUAACCUGAAAAUUACAGGACGGAACAUCUGGCAUUUAGCAGGAGAAACUGGAACACGAUGGCGCCUUCCGAGGGCGAGGAAAAGAGACGCUCUGCUCUCUUUCGCCAGUAGUAAGUACAUGGGGGUCCUUGAGGCGCAGGACAUCGCCUCCCCAGCCUCGGGCUCGUAGGAAGGAAGAGCCGUUACUGCAUUUCUUAGGCCCAGAGAGCAGAAGCAGCAGCAACGGAUUUGAAACAAAAAAAAAAAAAGUCUCAGAAGGGCGGGUCUGGUCUCUAAGAAAAAAGUUCCCAACGACGAAGCGUUCUCCAGAAGAGGAGUGAAGGGGCUUCCUAGCCAGGGUUGUAGACGCAGAGCCGGAACGAGCCUCUCCGCUCACCUUUCACAGAGGGGGAAACUGAGGCCGAGUGUAACGGACAAGCCCGGGGUUGCUUCGCUCGUGCAAGGGGAAGCAAUCGAAUUCCGAGUUCGCGAUCGGAUCGGGUGCCCCGCCCCUCUCCUCCACAUUUUGCCCAGGGAGGGAGAAAAGUAAGGCAUGGAGUCCUCUGGUCGGAAAGAAAAACCCAAAGUGAAAGAGACUGUGAACCGAAUAGAGAAAGCCAGGCAGAGAUCGGCUCAGCAGGAACUGAAGCAGAGACAGAGGGCCGAGAUUUAUGCUCUCAACAGAGUAAUGACCGAACUGGAGCAGCAGCAAUUUGAUGAGUUCUGUAAGCAGAUGCAGCCUCCAAGAGAAUGAACUCUCUCCUUCAUUGAGACCAGGUGGGGCCCCUGAGGCUUGGAUCAUGACCUUUGUAACCAGUUCUUCCAAGGUGGCUCACUUUGGGCCAUACAAAUGUAGAGACAAAGAUUUAUGUACUUUUUAAAGUUGGAUAAAUCUGAAUUUGAUACUUUCUGUGACUGCUUCUUCACCUAUCCCUGUCUUCCUCAGGUUAGCAUCAUUUUUCUGAACUUUUUUCCCCCCCAAUUUCAGUUGUUUGAACUGGGAGUGGGGAGUGCGGAAGAAAGUCAGAAUUUGUCGUGGAACUUUCUCUUUUCCAAGAAAAUAAACUACAAAGUCAAGGCCUGCUUGUCUAAGCCUUAGUUUGGAUGGCCAAAUCAUUGAGGCCGAAGUUUCAGUGGGUAAAAAAUGUUGACGUGAGCAAAGAAAACCUAGAGUACUUGGUAUCCUAGAACGAACACAUAAUCUGUUGAUGAAACUUUCCUCUUGCCUCCUGCUCUAUCCAUUGCUACUGUUGUUGCUCAUCAUCUGCAGCUACUUCCAGCUGUUAGGUUUUUGGGGGUGAUGAGAAUGCUGCUGAAUGAGUUUAAAUAUCUGGGUCAUUGGCCUAGAUUUGUGUGAAUCCUGACUGUAAACCUCAAAGCCAGAUUUCUUCUUUUACCCUCACAAAUGGACACCUAACAGAUUGGCCACAAAGGAGCGUGAGUUUUAAAAGUGACAUUUGGGAGCAGUGGCAGCAGCCCUAGAAAUUAAACAGUGAGAGGAGGAUCCUGAUUGGCCCCUCAAGAAUCAGCCAGCCACCUAACCAGAGUUUUUGGGACAGUCAAUUUAAUCUCUCCUACUCUCAUUUGUUUCUAACAAGUGUAACAUAAAUUAUUUCUACCUAAACCUUUCUAGGUUUAUUAUCUCAGGUUUAUCUAUUUUUUUAUAUUGGGGAGGAAGAAAUUGUCCUUUUUUAAGAUAUCGGAACAAGGGCUAGUCUGUUAUAGAAAUGGUUUGUGAGAAUGUAGAUAAGAAAAAAAAAGUCACCCUGAGAUAAACAAGAUGGAAAUGUAUGGAAGAUUCUAGUGCCCUCCAAAGAGUCCAGACUAACAAGGCUCAGCUUCUCAGUAAAAUCACCAGAACAUGUUCUGGGACUCUAUGCCCCAGUCUUAGCUUUGCAGCUCCGAGAGAGGGUGGCAAGGGAUAAUGGGAAAGUCUCAGCUCCAUUCCUUUCUGCCAAGGUUGUGCCCCGAGGAGAUAUGAUCUAGCAUUUGCAAAUUGGAACUUGGAAUAAAUUUUCACAUAGAAAUAAUGUUAUAAAUGAUAGCUUCUGUUAUAUUUUAUAAUUCAGGUGAUUAUAGAUUGAAUAGGCUUUUGUAGGAUCUCUUAGGAAUGCAACAUUACUUUUAUGGGGAAUGUGCCAAGUUGUGAACAGCCAACUUGUAGAACUGUGGAGCAAAAUCCAUUGGUAAGCUGGAGAUUACCUUUGUUAGCAUCUCUUCCAUGGCCUGGUUUGUACCUGUGAUGAGCUGGGAACUGGUGCAU